Molecule: ribosomal RNA, 429 nt
Filed under: Chloroflexota bacterium
Lineage: Bacteria; Bacillati; Chloroflexota
Description: Chloroflexi bacterium partial 16S ribosomal RNA
Rfam family: Bacterial small subunit ribosomal RNA
Source: RNAcentral
UGGGGAAUAUUGCACAAUGGGCGCAAGCCUGAUGCAGCCAUGCCGCGUGUAUGAAGAAGGCCUUCGGGUUGUAAAGUACUUUCAGCGGGGAGGAAGGGAGUAAAGUUAAUACCUUUGCUCAUUGACGUUACCCGCAGAAGAAGCACCGGCUAACUCCGUGCCAGCAGCCGCGGUAAUACGGAGGGUGCAAGCGUUAAUCGGAAUUACUGGGCGUAAAGCGCACGCAGGCGGUUUGUUAAGUCAGAUGUGAAAUCCCCGGGCUCAACCUGGGAACUGCAUCUGAUACUGGCAAGCUUGAGUCUCGUAGAGGGGGGUAGAAUUCCAGGUGUAGCGGUGAAAUGCGUAGAGAUCUGGAGGAAUACCGGUGGCGAAGGCGGCCCCCUGGAUGAAGACUGACGCUCAGGUGCGAAAGCGUGGGGAGCAAACAGG